RNAcentral lists this transfer RNA (72 nucleotides) under Laccaria bicolor S238N-H82. Its description in RNAcentral is "tRNA-Arg (ACG) (tRNA-Arg-ACG-2-1)". It matches the Rfam family "tRNA". From Rfam's summary of the family: Transfer RNA (tRNA) molecules are approximately 80 nucleotides in length. Their secondary structure includes four short double-helical elements and three loops (D, anti-codon, and T loops). The record is from RNAcentral. Lineage: Eukaryota; Fungi; Basidiomycota; Agaricomycetes; Agaricales; Hydnangiaceae.
GGCCGUGUGGCGAAAUGGCAUCGCGUCUGACUACGAAUCAGGAGAUUGCAGGUUCGAGACCUGCCUCGGUCA